RNAcentral lists this long non-coding RNA (3654 nucleotides) under Cicer arietinum (chickpea). Its description in RNAcentral is "long non-coding RNA (CARI_LNC001121)". The record is from RNAcentral. Lineage: Eukaryota; Viridiplantae; Streptophyta; Magnoliopsida; Fabales; Fabaceae.
CCAAUGCGAAGACAUUAAACAAGUUAUAUUGAACCAUUCCACAUCCAUAUAACAUUUUAUAUCGAAUUCUAACAACGAAGCCUACAAUACAUAAUCCACAAUAUUAACGACCAUUCUAUCAACAUCAUUUGCACAAGGUCAUUAGCAAUAAUAAGGUGAAAAUUCAAAGUCUUUAUCUCAAUUUAGCUAUUGAUAGUUUUUUAAAUCUUAUAAAUCAUUACCUUUUACACUUAGGGAAACAAAUUAAAUCAUUAUACCAUCCUCUAUUUACAAAUUGUUCAAUUGGUGCUUUCUUCUAGAAUAAGCUAGAUACAAUUUACAGGUGAUGGUCUUCAAGCUAUAUUAAAUUUUCAACUAGGAAAGAGAACAUUGAAAAUGUGGGAUCCUUCCUGACCUUAUCCAAAUCCAACUUACCUAUAAAUAAAAGUCAAAUAUAAAACAAGGCAUGUCGCUACUUUUUAUAUCAAACAAAGAAUUUAGAAUUCAAAUCAAACUCUUGGCCAUUAAAAUAGACAAACUUUAGCACCUUGUUUUUCAAAUGGGUAGAAAAAUAGACUAAUUCUAAUGGAGCACAUUCAUGUCCAACAUAAACAAUGUUUAAAUAUUAUCUAAAAUUUUAACAAUGAUGCAAUAUAUUUUAAAAGUAUAAAUUAUUCGUGGAUUUAUUUUUAUAUUUAAAAUAAUAAUUUAAUUGAUGUAACAUUUAUCUUUUUUAUUUAUUUAUUUCAAUUAAAUCAUUAUAUAAAUAAUAAAUUUUAAACACACAUUCUAAAUUAGGAUAAAUAACUAAAAUUAUGUUCCAUUAAAAUAAAUAAUUAUAUAGUAGGAUGAAAAUUUUGGAGUGGUGCGCACGUGGGUUUUGAACCAGAAAACUCUUGGACCGUAUUUUAAGGAACACCAUGUUUUGACUAUGGACUUCAACAAAGAUUUUCAACGCCAAAGAAUGAUCAUAGUGUCAAAAGGCUUUUGGUUUUUGAAAAAUGAAAAAUUAGAACUGUAAAAUAAGCGUGAGAUGGAAGAGACGUGUUCGAGGAAGAGAAUACAUGACAUCGUGGCGUAUAAAUUCAAACUCCAACACAAAGCCAUGUGUUGUAUACGUGGAAUGGGACCCAACAUGUACAAUGGUGGCUAAUCACAUCUUCAUGAGUCAAAUAUUGAUCAAAUAAUCGAGGUUCAAUGUCAAAACCUAAACCUUUUUCAAACUCAAACAUCAAUAUGUUUCCAACACUAGACUGUAGUAGCAACUAACUAGCUAGUGGACAUGUAUGGUGGAUGUUUCUUAUGUCAUGUAUGUAUGUAUGCUAUGUCAUAGACAAAUUAUGAAUCAUGAUCCAUGAAAUACCCGACAAGAUUUUUUAUGCAUAUCAUGUCACGGCUGAGUCAGACAUUGAAAUCACACCCUCUACUCUCAACGGCAAGGGUCCCCGAAUUUCUAUUUUGUUUUAUUGACAAGAAAUAAUGUUGGCAACAUCUCCUUUUCAGUUAAUGUCAUUAUUGUAUUUUUUUUUUUUAUCAACAAGAUUAAACUUUUUUACCUUAUAAAAAAAUCAGAUAUUUUUAUAUUAAGAAAACUUCUUUUCACCCAAAAUAUUAUUUUAGAGUAUCAUCAUGGAUGUCGUCAAUAUCUGUUUUUGUCACCUUAAACAUGAAUAUUCCACACAUGUGCACCAGCUAUUAUUAACACCCAAAACUUAUCGUCAUUUAGUUUACAUUGAGUGGUAGAUUCUAAAGUGGCAAAAAGAAAUUGAAUUGAUUUAUUUAAGAUGUUUAAUUUUGAUAAAAUUUGAGUUGAAGGUUGGAUUAUAUUUAUUUAAAAAUAGAUUAAAUAAUAAAUUUUGGUUAAACUUUUUUUUUAGAAAUAAAACUUACCACUUUAAUUUUUAAGUUGAAGUUAAUUCUAAAUAUAAAAUUUAUUUAAUAUAAAAAAAUUUAUUCAAUAUGUCUAGAAGUUAAUUGAAGUAUGAUCAAUUAUCGAAGAGGAUUAGGUGAUAGAUUGUUAAUUUAUAGAAUGAGAUUCAUGAGAGAGGUUAUCUUCUAGACAUAUUUGGAGAGUCUAAAAAUUAUUGAAUACUCUAUCUAAAAUCAAAUCAAAUAUAAGUAAAAUUAACUUUUAUAUUUUAAAAUGACAUGUAAACAUACAUAUUUCGGAUUUUAUUUAAGGUGCAUUUGAUAUUGAAUUCUCAACAUUUAAAACAGUUUUGUUGGUUUUACCCAAAAGGAAGGGGAUUGGGCAUGUAUAGGAUAAGAAAUUUUAAUUAUGUUGGAUUUUAAUUGAGUGUGCAUUAAUAUUGAAUGCUCAACAUUUAAAACACUUUUGUUUGGUUUUACCCAAAAGAAAGGGGAUUGGACAUGUAUAGGCUAAGAAAUUUUAAUUAUGUUUUGUUAGGAAAAUGGGGCUGUCGGUUGAAAACUGAGGAACAUAUUAUUUGAUUUAAAAUGUGGGUUAACAAAGCAUGGUUUUGAGGUGUUUAGUGUUGUGAGUAGAACUAAUUUAAUGGUGAGUUGGUGGAAGAAUUUAUGCUUUGUUCGUGACGGGUUGGGUAGCGAAAGGAAAAAUUGGUUUAGUAAAUAUUUGGUACGUGUGAUGCGUCAUGAUAGAGACAGUAGAGACAUUUCAUUUUGGUUUAAUUAAAAAUAAUAAUAAUAAUAAUAAUAAUAAUAAUAAUAAUAAUAAUAAUAAUAAUAAUAAUAAUAAUAAUAAUAAUAAUAAUAAUAAUAAUAAGACAUUUCAUUUUGGCAUGACAAUUGGAUAGAGGGGUGCUUUUGUUGAGAGCUUCAUGCGUUUUGUAUGUGUUGGUAGUAGACAAAAAAUAACUCGUUGGCAAAUAAGUUUAGGUUUGGGUUGUGAGGAGGAAGCUUGGAGAUGAAAGAAAACUUUUUUUAUUUGGGAGGAAAAACUCUCCGUGGAGUGUAUUUCUUUGAUGAAAUUAGUGGUUUUGCAAGAAAUAUGAUGGACAAGUGGAUUUGGCAACAUGAUCAAGGAGAUGAAUAUUAUGCCAAGCCUCUUACAAUCAAAAUUGUUGCAUGAUCCAAGUUUAGAAGUAAAUUCUCUUUGUGAUAUUAUUUGGAAUAAAUUGGUAUACCUCUCAAGUAUCUUUAUAUGUGUGUAGAUUCAUGAAACAAAUUGGCUACUAAAGAUAGUCUAGCUAUACAUGGCUUGUUGGUGGAACAAGAAAUUAUAUGCUUAGGAUGUGCAAAAUAUGAAUGGUUACAACAUCAACUUUUAAUUUCUUUUUUUAAAUGUAAUACAUUUGGUCAAGUAUAUCGGUUGAAAUUUUAGUUUAGUCGGGUGUUUAAAGUGCAUUAUCCAAUUGUGAACAAAUCAUAUUCUUUAAUUUGAAAAAAAUUCUCUUGAAGAAAAUGUUAGAUGACGUAUAUUUGGAUCGUUUGAAAUGUGCGCAAUGAUUGUAUGUUUAAUGAAAACUUCUGCAGUACUACGAAGAAAAAAGAGUGUAUCGGUACUAUCAAAAUUUUAACCAAUACUUAAGUUAGUUUAUCAUUAACUCAUCCACAUCAGUAUUUAUAUAUUGUAUAUUAAAUAUUGACUAAAUCAAUAGUAUUGGUUGAUCAAGUCAUGUCAUCAUUUUUUUUAUGUUUGUCAAUUGGUAGUAUGUGGAUUGUUAAUUAGGGUGUUAGAGUUUGUUUAUUCGAUCA